RNAcentral lists this ribosomal RNA (544 nucleotides) under uncultured Glomeromycotina. RNAcentral describes it as "SSU rRNA". It matches the Rfam family "Eukaryotic small subunit ribosomal RNA", at positions 548 to 1098 of the family's 1831-position model. The record is from RNAcentral. Lineage: Eukaryota; Fungi; Glomeromycota.
UUGGAGGGCAAGUCUGGUGCCAGCAGCCGCGGUAAUUCCAGCUCCAAUAGCGUAUAUUAAAGUUGUUGCAGUUAAAAAGCUCGUAGUUGAAUUUCGGGGUUCUACCGUUGGUCGGGCUUUGUCUGUACUGGUGUGUAGAAUUUCUACCUUCUGGGGAACCAUCAUGCUAUUAAUUUAGCGUGGUGGGAAACCAGGACCUUUACCUUGAAAAAAUUAGUGUGUUCAAAGCAGGCUUAUGUCUGAAUACAUUAGCGUGGAAUAAUAGAAUAGGACGGUGGUCCUGUUUUGUUGGUUUCUGAAUCACCGUAAUGAUUAAUAGGGAUAGUUGGGGGCAUUAGUAUUCGAUUGUCAGAGGUGAAAUUCUUGGAUUUAUUGAAGACUAACUUCUGCGAAAGCAUUUGCCAAGGAUGUUUUCAUUAAUCAAGAACGAAAGUUAGGGGAUCGAAGACGAUCAGAUACCGUCGUAGUCUUAACCAUAAACUAUGCCGACUAGGGAUCGGACGAUGUUAAUUUUUCUUGACUCGUUCGGCGCCUUACGGGAAAC